RNAcentral lists this ribosomal RNA (448 nucleotides) under uncultured bacterium. RNAcentral describes it as "partial 16S ribosomal RNA". It matches the Rfam family "Bacterial small subunit ribosomal RNA", at positions 330 to 793 of the family's 1533-position model. The record is from RNAcentral.
UCCAGACUCCUACGGGAGGCAGCAGUGGGGGAUAUUGCACAAUGGGGGAAACCCUGAUGCAGCGACGCCGCGUGGGCGAAGAAGUAGUUCGGUAUGUAAAGCCCUCUCAGCAGGGAAGAAGAAAUGACGGUACCUGAGUAAGAAGCACCGGCUAAAUACGUGCCAGCAGCCGCGGUAAUACGUAUGGUGCAAGCGUUAUCCGGAUUUACUGGGCGUAUAGGGAGCGCAGGCGGCGCGCCAAGUCUGACGUGAAACCCCGGGGCUCAACCCCGGGCAUGCAUUGGAAACUGGCGGGCUGGAGUGCCGGAGAGGUAAGCGGAAUUCCCAGUGUAGCGGUGAAAUGCGUAGAUAUUAGGAGGAACACCAGUGGCGAAGGCGGCUUACUGGACGGCAACUGACGCUGAGGCUCGAAAGCGUGGGGAGCAAACAGGAUUAGAUACCCCUGUAU